RNAcentral lists this ribosomal RNA (497 nucleotides) under uncultured bacterium. RNAcentral describes it as "partial 16S ribosomal RNA". It matches the Rfam family "Bacterial small subunit ribosomal RNA", at positions 28 to 507 of the family's 1533-position model. The record is from RNAcentral.
GAUGAACGCUGGCGGCGUGCCUAAUACAUGCCAGUCGAGCGAACAGACGAGGAGCUUGCUCCUUUGACGUUAGCGGCGGACGGGUGAGUAACACGUGGGUAACCUACCUAUAAGACUGGGAUAACUUCGGGAAACCGGAGAUAAUACCGGAUAAUAUUUCGAACCGCAUGGUUCGAUAGUGAAAGAUGGCUUUGCUAUCACUUAUAGAUGGACCUGCGCCGUAUUAGCUAGUUGGUAAGGUAACGGCUUACCAAGGCAACGAUACGUAGCCGACCUGAGAGGAUGAUCAGCCACACUGGAACUGAGACACGGUCCAGACUCCUACGGGAGGCAGCAGUAGGGAAUCUUCCGCAAUGGGCGAAAGCCUGACGGAGCAACGCCGCGUGAGUGAUGAAGGUCUUCGGAUCGUAAAACUCUGUUAUUAGGGAAGAACAAACGUGUAAGUAACUGUGCACGUCUUGACGGUACCUAAUCAGAAAGCCACGGCUAACUACGUG